This 1489-nucleotide ribosomal RNA is filed under the name Lactiplantibacillus pentosus. RNAcentral describes it as "bacterial SSU rRNA". It matches the Rfam family "Bacterial small subunit ribosomal RNA". Lineage: Bacteria; Bacillati; Bacillota; Bacilli; Lactobacillales; Lactobacillaceae. The record is from RNAcentral.
GACGAACGCUGGCGGCGUGCCUAAUACAUGCAAGUCGAACGAACUCUGGUAUUGAUUGGUGCUUGCAUCAUGAUUUACAUUUGAGUGAGUGGCGAACUGGUGAGUAACACGUGGGAAACCUGCCCAGAAGCGGGGGAUAACACCUGGAAACAGAUGCUAAUACCGCAUAACAACUUGGACCGCAUGGUCCGAGUUUGAAAGAUGGCUUCGGCUAUCACUUUUGGAUGGUCCCGCGGCGUAUUAGCUAGAUGGUGGGGUAACGGCUCACCAUGGCAAUGAUACGUAGCCGACCUGAGAGGGUAAUCGGCCACAUUGGGACUGAGACACGGCCCAAACUCCUACGGGAGGCAGCAGUAGGGAAUCUUCCACAAUGGACGAAAGUCUGAUGGAGCAACGCCGCGUGAGUGAAGAAGGGUUUCGGCUCGUAAAACUCUGUUGUUAAAGAAGAACAUAUCUGAGAGUAACUGUUCAGGUAUUGACGGUAUUUAACCAGAAAGCCACGGCUAACUACGUGCCAGCAGCCGCGGUAAUACGUAGGUGGCAAGCGUUGUCCGGAUUUAUUGGGCGUAAAGCGAGCGCAGGCGGUUUUUUAAGUCUGAUGUGAAAGCCUUCGGCUCAACCGAAGAAGUGCAUCGGAAACUGGGAAACUUGAGUGCAGAAGAGGACAGUGGAACUCCAUGUGUAGCGGUGAAAUGCGUAGAUAUAUGGAAGAACACCAGUGGCGAAGGCGGCUGUCUGGUCUGUAACUGACGCUGAGGCUCGAAAGUAUGGGUAGCAAACAGGAUUAGAUACCCUGGUAGUCCAUACCGUAAACGAUGAAUGCUAAGUGUUGGAGGGUUUCCGCCCUUCAGUGCUGCAGCUAACGCAUUAAGCAUUCCGCCUGGGGAGUACGGCCGCAAGGCUGAAACUCAAAGGAAUUGACGGGGGCCCGCACAAGCGGUGGAGCAUGUGGUUUAAUUCGAAGCUACGCGAAGAACCUUACCAGGUCUUGACAUACUAUGCAAAUCUAAGAGAUUAGACGUUCCCUUCGGGGACAUGGAUACAGGUGGUGCAUGGUUGUCGUCAGCUCGUGUCGUGAGAUGUUGGGUUAAGUCCCGCAACGAGCGCAACCCUUAUUAUCAGUUGCCAGCAUUAAGUUGGGCACUCUGGUGAGACUGCCGGUGACAAACCGGAGGAAGGUGGGGAUGACGUCAAAUCAUCAUGCCCCUUAUGACCUGGGCUACACACGUGCUACAAUGGAUGGUACAACGAGUUGCGAACUCGCGAGAGUAAGCUAAUCUCUUAAAGCCAUUCUCAGUUCGGAUUGUAGGCUGCAACUCGCCUACAUGAAGUCGGAAUCGCUAGUAAUCGCGGAUCAGCAUGCCGCGGUGAAUACGUUCCCGGGCCUUGUACACACCGCCCGUCACACCAUGAGAGUUUGUAACACCCAAAGUCGGUGGGGUAACCUUUUAGGAACUAGCCGCCUAAGGUGGGAUAGAUGAUUAGGGUG